ACCUGCCCAAGCACUGGCUGGCUGGCUGUGUGUCAUUCACCAAAGAGUCAAAGGCAGCAGUUCCACUCCAGACCGGCACACCAGGCUCGCGGCUGAGCUCAACUGAACUGAGAAAGGAACAAAUCAGGUCUUGGAGUGAUUCCAUUCAUGUCGCUCACUCACUAGUUCCGUUCUUUUGAAUGAACACAACACAACACUAGUGUAGGUCUGUACCGUUAUAAUCAAGAUCGAUUAAACUGUGUGUGACACUAUGCACUUCUCUGUAGACGACUAGAGUGAAAAGUCCACAAUUCUGUGUGUUCUUAAAAUUAUAAUUGUAGUGCAGUGUAUCAUGUUAAAGGUGAACCUUUCAAUUGCUGUUGUUUUCAUAGUUUUGUAAAGCUUGUUGCAGCAGAUCCUGUUCUACUCUCACUGAGCUUCUCUAUAUGACGCUCAUCUAUUGUGAGAAUAGAACUGUGUGUAAACUGUUGCAAUUUUCAGUUGUCAAAUAUUUUAAUGGUAAUACUAUGAUCACAUUGUCAACAUGUCUCUAAUGAGAUCUACCACAACCAUGAUCACCACAAUCCAGUUUGUCAUUUAGUGUUUAGAGAAUAUUUCUGUCAUCUCUCCUCUGUUUUUUUAAUUUUAUGGAAGCAUUUUUUAUUAUAAUUUUUUUUCUUCUUACUAGAAAGCUUUAUGGUCCUCAGGUCAUCAGUACAGAUCCAUCUUAAUCUACCAAUAAGAAAGCUUUUGACAGUGGAAGGUAAAAACAUCUCUUAAAACAGUUUCAUACCUCAAGCAGAACAGAAGCCUGUACUAUGAAGCUGGAUUUGAUCUUGGCCAAAUAACUUCUGGAUAACUCCUGGGUUUUCUGUUUGACGAAAGUGGAUUUCUUUCUAUCCAGGUCCGUUGCCCUGGUAACUUACACCUAACGCCAAACCCCGCUCCCGGGCAGGUUAUGAUUCAGGGUAACAUCUCAGCGGGUAUAAAGACCGCCCACAGACCAAUCGCAUCUCUUGGAAAAUGGCUUGCCCGCUUUGGCCGGAUCCUGUGGACAUCGGUGCACAGAUGGUAAGAUGAACGCUUCGCCGAGAGCAUUAUAUUUGUGAUUGUUAAAAUCUGUUUGAUUUCCCUAAUGAUGCUUUCUAUGAACGUUACAGGUUUUCCUUGGACGGCCUCAAUAUUCAGGUAGCAUGAAGUCUAGGCAAUGCACUAAUAUCUGCCAAGC
Xyrichtys novacula (pearly razorfish) is the source of this 1207-nucleotide non-coding RNA. NCBI's taxonomy places the organism in Eukaryota, Metazoa, Chordata, Actinopteri, Labriformes, Labridae. The record is from the annotation of a GenBank genome assembly.